GAUGAACGCUGGCGGCGUGCCUAAUACAUGCAAGUCGAACGCUGGAAAUCUAGCUUGCUAGCUUGAAGGAGUGGCGAACGGGUGAGUAAUACAUAAGCAACCUACCCACGAAGACUGGGAUAAUCUCUGGAAACGGGGACUAAUACCGGAUAGGUAAUCGGAAGGCAUCUUCUGAUUAUUAAAGGUUAAAAACACUGGUGGAUGGGCUUAUGGCGCAUUAGUUAGUUGGUGAGGUAACGGCCCACCAAGACGAUGAUGCGUAGCCGGCCUGAAAGGGUGAACGGCCACAUUGGGACUGAGACACGGCCCAGACUCCUACGGGAGGCAGCAGUAGGGAAUUGUCGGCAAUGGGGGAAACCCUGACCGAGCAACGCCGCGUGAGUGAUGACGGCCUUCGGGUUGUAAAGCUCUGUUGUAAGGGAAGAACGGUAGAUAGAGAAUAUCUAAAUGACGGUACCUUACCAGAAAGCCACGGCUAACUACGUG
This 486-nucleotide ribosomal RNA is filed under the name uncultured bacterium. RNAcentral's name for it is "partial 16S ribosomal RNA". It matches the Rfam family "Bacterial small subunit ribosomal RNA", at positions 28 to 507 of the family's 1533-position model. The record is from RNAcentral.